AGUGAACGCUGGCGGUAGGCCUAACACAUGCAAGUCGAACGGCAGCACAGUAAGAGCUUGCUCUUACGGGUGGCGAGUGGCGGACGGGUGAGGAAUACAUCGGAAUCUACUUUUUCGUGGGGGAUAACGUAGGGAAACUUACGCUAAUACCGCAUACGACCUACGGGUGAAAGCAGGGGAUCUUCGGACCUUGCGCGAUUGAAUGAGCCGAUGUCGGAUUAGCUAGUUGGCGGGGUAAAGGCCCACCAAGGCGACGAUCCGUAGCUGGUCUGAGAGGAUGAUCAGCCACACUGGAACUGAGACACGGUCCAGACUCCUACGGGAGGCAGCAGUGGGGAAUAUUGGACAAUGGGCGCAAGCCUGAUCCAGCCAUACCGCGUGGGUGAAGAAGGCCUUCGGGUUGUAAAGCCCUUUUGUGGGGAAAGAAAAGCAGCAGGUUAAUACCACGCUGUUCUGACGGUACCCAAAGAAUAAGCACCGGCUAACUUCGUG
This 492-nucleotide ribosomal RNA is filed under the name uncultured bacterium. Its description in RNAcentral is "partial 16S ribosomal RNA". It matches the Rfam family "Bacterial small subunit ribosomal RNA", at positions 29 to 507 of the family's 1533-position model. The record is from RNAcentral.